GCCCCCGUGGCGGAAUUGGUAGACGCGGCAGACUCAAAAUCUGUUGCCCGGAAGGGCAUGUUGGUUCGAGUCCGACCGGGGGCA
Molecule: transfer RNA, 84 nt
Filed under: Rhodospirillum centenum SW
Lineage: Bacteria; Pseudomonadati; Pseudomonadota; Alphaproteobacteria; Rhodospirillales; Rhodospirillaceae
Rfam family: tRNA
About the family: Transfer RNA (tRNA) molecules are approximately 80 nucleotides in length. Their secondary structure includes four short double-helical elements and three loops (D, anti-codon, and T loops). Further hydrogen bonds mediate the characteristic L-shaped molecular structure. tRNAs have two regions of fundamental functional importance: the anti-codon, which is responsible for specific mRNA codon recognition, and the 3' end, to which the tRNAs corresponding amino acid is attached (by aminoacyl-tRNA synthetases). tRNAs cope with the degeneracy of the genetic code in two manners: having more than one tRNA (with a specific anti-codon) for a particular amino acid; and 'wobble' base-pairing, i.e. permitting non-standard base-pairing at the 3rd anti-codon position.
Source: Rfam by way of RNAcentral